UACAGAGGCCCCAAGCGUUAGGCGGAAUCACUGGGCUUAAAGCGUGUGCAGGCGGCCCGUCAAGUGCCUUGUGAAAGCCCACGGCUCAACCGUGGAACUGCUUGGCAGACUGGCGGGCUUGAAUCAUCCAGGGGCGAGUGGAACUCACGGUGGAGCGGUUAAAUGCAUAGAUAUCGUGAGGAACGCCAGAGGCGAAAGCGACUCGCUGGGGAUGUAUUGACGCUCAGACACGAAAGCUAGGGCAGCGAACGGG
RNAcentral lists this unclassified non-coding RNA (253 nucleotides) under uncultured Tepidisphaerales bacterium. RNAcentral describes it as "contains 16S-23S intergenic spacer region". It matches the Rfam family "Bacterial small subunit ribosomal RNA", at positions 524 to 776 of the family's 1533-position model. The record is from RNAcentral. Lineage: Bacteria; Pseudomonadati; Planctomycetota; Phycisphaerae; Tepidisphaerales.